This 467-nucleotide ribosomal RNA is filed under the name uncultured bacterium. RNAcentral describes it as "partial 16S ribosomal RNA". It matches the Rfam family "Bacterial small subunit ribosomal RNA", at positions 28 to 506 of the family's 1533-position model. The record is from RNAcentral.
GACGAACGCUGGCGGCGUGCUUAACACAUGCAAGUCGAACGGAAAGGCCCUGCUUUUGUGGGGUGCUCGAGUGGCGAACGGGUGAGUAACACGUGAGUAACCUGCCCUUGACUUUGGGAUAACUUCAGGAAACUGGGGCUAAUACCGGAUAGGAGCUCCUGCUGCAUGGUGGGGGUUGGAAAGUUUCGGCGGUUGGGGAUGGACUCGCGGCUUAUCAGCUUGUUGGUGGGGUAGUGGCUUACCAAGGCUUUGACGGGUAGCCGGCCUGAGAGGGUGACCGGCCACAUUGGGACUGAGAUACGGCCCAGACUCCUACGGGAGGCAGCAGUGGGGAAUAUUGCACAAUGGGCGGAAGCUUGAUGCAGCAACGCCGCGUGCGGGAUGACGGCCUUCGGGUUGUAAACCGCUUUCGCCUGUGACGAAGCGUGAGUGACGGUAAUGGGUAAAGAAGCACCGGCUAACUACGU